This 542-nucleotide ribosomal RNA is filed under the name uncultured bacterium. RNAcentral describes it as "bacterial SSU rRNA". It matches the Rfam family "Bacterial small subunit ribosomal RNA", at positions 777 to 1320 of the family's 1533-position model. The record is from RNAcentral.
AAUAGAUACCCGGGUAGUCCACGCCGUAAACGAUGAGUGCUAAGUGUUAGGGGUUUCCGCCCCUUAGUGCUGCAGCUAACGCAUUAAGCACUCCGCCUGGGGAGUACGGUCGCAAGACUGAAACUCAAAGGAAUUGACGGGGGCCCGCACAAGCGGUGGAGCAUGUGGUUUAAUUCGAAGCAACGCGAAGAACCUUACCAGGUCUUGACAUCCCAUUGACCGCUAUGGAGACAUAGCUUUCCCUUCGGGGACAGUGGUGACAGGUGGUGCAUGGUUGUCGUCAGCUCGUGUCGUGAGAUGUUGGGUUAAGUCCCGCAACGAGCGCAACCCUUGUUCUUAGUUGCCAUCAUUUAGUUGGGCACUCUAAGGAGACUGCCGGUGACAAACCGGAGGAAGGUGGGGAUGACGUCAAAUCAUCAUGCCCCUUAUGACCUGGGCUACACACGUGCUACAAUGGACGGUACAAACGGUUGCCAACCCGCGAGGGGAGCUAAUCCGAUAAACCGUUCUCAGUUCGGAUUGUAGGCUGCAACUCGCCUACA